RNAcentral lists this ribosomal RNA (467 nucleotides) under uncultured bacterium. RNAcentral describes it as "SSU rRNA". It matches the Rfam family "Bacterial small subunit ribosomal RNA", at positions 26 to 518 of the family's 1533-position model. The record is from RNAcentral.
AGGAUAAACGCUGGCGGCGUGCCUAACACAUGCAAGUCGAACGUCUCUUCUUUCGGGAAGAGGAGUGGCGGACGGGUGAGGAACACGUGGGAACCUGCCCUUUAGUGAGGAAUACCGGCGAGAAAUCGCCGACAAGACCGCAUAGCCCUCUUUGAUGAGAGUCAAAGAAGGAAAGCUUCGCAAGAGGCGCUAGAGGAGGGGCCUGCGUCCGAUUAGCUAGUUGGUGGGGUAAGAGCCUACCAAGGCGUCGAUCGGUAGCUGGUCUGAGAGGACGAUCAGCCACACUGGGAUUGAGAACGGCCCAGACUCCUACGGGGGCAGCAGUGAGGAAUUUUCGGCAAUGGGGGAAACCCUGACCGAGCAACGCCGCGUGCAGGAAGACGGCCUUCGGUUGUAACUGCUUUUCUUGGGAAGAGGAAGGACGGUACCAGAGGAAUCAGCCCGGCUCACUACGUGCCAGCAGCCGC